This 159-nucleotide unclassified non-coding RNA is filed under the name uncultured Xenochalara. RNAcentral describes it as "sequence contains ITS1". Lineage: Eukaryota; Fungi; Ascomycota. The record is from RNAcentral.
CAGAGAAUAUCGCCCUCACGGGGUGACUCUCCAACCCUAUGUUAUUGUACCUUUGUUGCUUUGGCGAGCCGCUUCGGCCACCGGCUCACGCUGGUGAGUGCUCGCCAGAGGACCCCAAACUCUAAAUAUUAGUGUCGUCUGAGUACUAUAUAAUAGUUA